UCAACCAUAGUGUGCUNUGGAAACUGUCUGACUUGAGUGCAGAAGGGGAGAGUGGAAUUCCAUGUGUAGCGGUGAAAUGCGUAGAUAUAUGGAGGAACACCAGUGGCGAAAGCGGCUCUCUGGUCUGUCACUGACGCUGAGGCUCGAAAGCGUGGGUAGCGAACAGGAUUAGAUACCCUGGUAGUNCACGCCGUAAACGAUGAGUGCUAGGUGUUAGGCCCUUUCCGGGGCUUAGUGCCGGAGCUAACGCAAUAAGCACUCCGCCUGGGGAGUACGACCGCAAGGUUGAAACUCAAAGGAUUUGACGGGGGCCCGCACAAGCGGUGGAGCAUGUGGUUUAAUUCGAAGCAACGCGAAGAACCUUACCAGGUCUUGACAUCCCGAUGCUAUUCUUAGAGAUAGGAAGUUACUUCGGUACACCGGAGACAGGUGGUGCAUGGUUGUCGUCAGCUCGUGUCGUGAGAUGUUGGGUUAAGUCCCGCAACGAGUGCAACCCUUAUUGUUAGUUGCCAUCAUUAAGUUGGGCACUCUAGCGAGACUGCCGGUAAUAAACCGGAGGAAGGUGGGGAUGACGUCAAAUCAUCAUGCCCCUUAUGACCUGGGCUACACACGUGCUACAAUGGUCGGUACAACGAGUUGCGAGCCGGUGACGGCAAGCUAAUCUCUGAAAGCCGAUCUCAGUUCGGAUUGGAGGCUGCAACUCGCCUCCAUGAAGUCGGAAUCGCUAGUAAUCGCGGAUCAACACGCCGCGGUGAAUACGUUCCCGGGCCUUGUACACACCGCCCGUCACACCACGAGAGUUUGUAACACCCGAAGUCGNUGAGG
RNAcentral lists this ribosomal RNA (825 nucleotides) under uncultured bacterium. Its description in RNAcentral is "bacterial SSU rRNA". It matches the Rfam family "Bacterial small subunit ribosomal RNA", at positions 609 to 1435 of the family's 1533-position model. The record is from RNAcentral.